UAACCUGCCCAAGAGAUCGGGAUAACACCUUGAAACAGAUGCUAAUACCGGAUAACAACAGAUGAUGCCUAUCAACUGUUUAAAAGAUGGUUCUGCUAUCACUCUUGGAUGGACCUGCGGUGCAUUAGCUAGUUGGUAGGGUAACGGCCUACCAAGGCGAUGAUGCAUAGCCGAGUUGAGAGACUGAUCGGCCACAUUGGGACUGAGACACGGCCCAAACUCCUACGGGAGGCAGCAGAA
Molecule: ribosomal RNA, 240 nt
Filed under: uncultured Lactobacillus sp.
Lineage: Bacteria; Bacillati; Bacillota; Bacilli; Lactobacillales; Lactobacillaceae
Description: partial 16S ribosomal RNA
Rfam family: Bacterial small subunit ribosomal RNA
Source: RNAcentral